AAAAAGAAAAAGGGGGGAAAGGUUUACAUGAUAGAGAGUGACAUAGUCAUCACUCUGAGCUUAUCACAAGUUCACACACAACAUCUUCUUCUAGCUUAGCUCCGCUCCCUAAAAUACAGUACUGGUUUUCUUCAAUCUUAACCUCUAAAAUUCUGAAGAAUCUUUGGUAGAGAGAUGAGUGACCCCAAGUAUGGUUAUCCUUACCCUGCCCAAGGUUAUUAUCAAGGACCUCCGGUGAUGGCACCUCCACAAUAUUACGCUGCUCCACCGCCCCGGAGAGAGCCUGGUUUCCUCGAGGGAUGCCUUGCAGCUUUGUGCUGUUGCUGCCUUAUUGACGAGUGUUGCUGCGACCCCUCCUUCUUCUUUUUCUGACAGAGCCAGCUGCCAUGCUUCUUCUAAGAGUAGUUAUAGCUAUGUGAUAAAUGUUGAUUACAGUGUAAUGAUGAGUGCUGUUGUUGAUUACAGUGUAAUGAUGAGUGCUGUUGUUUAUUGCCUUAGAGCAUUUUACUCUAAUGUAGUUCUACAUCCAUGUUGAGUACAUCUGGACAUCAAGAAUUUUAGUUUUAAAUUCCUUAA
Molecule: long non-coding RNA, 576 nt
Organism: Populus nigra (black poplar)
Lineage: Eukaryota; Viridiplantae; Streptophyta; Magnoliopsida; Malpighiales; Salicaceae
Exons: 3
Source: RefSeq, a predicted model, not a curated record